GACGAACGCUGGCGGCGUGCUUAACACAUGCAAGUCGAACGGAAAGGCCCUGCUUUUGUGGGGUGCUCGAGUGGCGAACGGGUGAGUAACACGUGAGUAACCUGCCCUUGACUUUGGGAUAACUUCAGGAAACUGGGGCUAAUACCGGAUAGGAGCUCCUGCUGCAUGGUGGGGGUUGGAAAGUUUCGGCGGUUGGGGAUGGACUCGCGGCUUAUCAGCUUGUUGGUGGGGUAGUGGCUUACCAAGGCUUUGACGGGUAGCCGGCCUGAGAGGGUGACCGGCCACAUUGGGACUGGGAUACGGCCCAGACUCCAACGGGAGGCAGCAGUGGGGAAUAUUGCACAAUGGGCGGAAGCCUGAUGCAGCAACGCCGCGUGCGGGAUGACGGCCUUCGGGGUGUAAACCGCUUUCGCCUGUGACGAAGCGUGAGUGACGGUAAUGGGUAAAGAAGCACCGGCUAACUACGUG
This 468-nucleotide ribosomal RNA is filed under the name uncultured bacterium. RNAcentral's name for it is "partial 16S ribosomal RNA". It matches the Rfam family "Bacterial small subunit ribosomal RNA", at positions 28 to 507 of the family's 1533-position model. The record is from RNAcentral.